Molecule: ribosomal RNA, 238 nt
Filed under: uncultured bacterium
Lineage: Bacteria
Description: partial 16S ribosomal RNA
Rfam family: Bacterial small subunit ribosomal RNA
Source: RNAcentral
UGGCGAACGGGUGAGUAACGCGUGGGUAACCUGCCUCGUACAGGGGGAUAACAGUUAGAAAUGGCUGCUAAUACCGCAUAAGACCACAGUACUGCAUGGUACAGUGGUAAAAACUCCGGUGGUAUGAGAUGGACCCGCGUCUGAUUAGGUAGUUGGUGAGGUAACGGCCCACCAAGCCGACGAUCAGUAGCCGACCUGAGAGGGUGACCGGCCACAUUGGGACUGAGACACGGCCCAG